This 3639-nucleotide long non-coding RNA is filed under the name Apis florea (little honeybee). Its description in RNAcentral is "uncharacterized LOC116414512". The record is from RNAcentral. Lineage: Eukaryota; Metazoa; Arthropoda; Insecta; Hymenoptera; Apidae.
CUUUACAACGUUCAAUUUCAAUAAUUAUAUCUCGAACGAUUCAUCGAGAAAUUUUAAAACACCGUCCAAGUAUAUCUAAUUUUCCAAAAAUCACGGAUCCUUUAUUCGUUAAUUUGUCAAACAACUCGUAUUCCAAAAAAAGUGCGUCUUUUUAUCAACCAGAGACUCGCUCUUUGCCAUCACAAGUUUUCCACGACAAAACGACCAACACGAGAAGAAACACGUUCUCAUCCUCUCGUUUAUAGUAACGUAAAAAGUACUUUCGGUCCCGAAAAGAGAAGAGAGAGAGAGAGAGAGAGAGAGAGAGAUGGUAGGAAGAAAAGUAAAAAAAAAAAAUAAAGAAAAGAAAAAGAACGACAGUCUGCUUUUCUUCUUCUCGCGAUAUAUCACAUUUGUCUCGUGUGAAAAGUUUGUCACGAAACGCACUAAUUUUAUUUAUUUAUUUAUUUAUUUAUUUAUUAUUUACGAUGUUUCGCGCUUUUAACAUUAUACAAACGAACGAUUAUGAACGAUUACCUCGCGAUUCGAGACAAUUUAUUUAAUUUAUCACGCACAAUUAUCGCUUAUUAUUGCUUACUCAUCGUUUUGAAUCACAGAGACUCGGCGUGAACGAGAGAAACUUUGCUAAAUCGACGAGAUUGCGGCGGAAAUUGGUAAUUUGUUUGAUAUUCAUUUUGAUCGUGAUGAAAAAUUGAUGGAAAGAAAUAAAAAUUACGAAAUCGAGAUAUAUUUAUGUUUAAUUCUAUGCUUACCACUUUUAUGUUGAAAUUUAGGUUAUGCCAGUUUCAUAGAUUCAUUAUCAAAGCAAAUUUAAAUCAAUAAAAUUCUCAUUAUCAUUCGAAACUUCGCUGCUCUGUUCCAGCUUUUCGCUGAAAUGAAAAAGACUUUUUAUGAAAUUUGUUUCCAUUCAUCAUAUUCUCAUUUUAAAAUGCAAAUAAUGUACGGUUUUUAAUCAAAAAAUUGAUAUCGUGGUUACAGAUUUUACAUUAAUUUGUCUCUCUCGUAACAAUCUCAAAUGUAGUUUUCAAACUUUGGCGAAAUUACGACAUUCCGUUUUAACUUAAUGAAAAAUAUUGUUUUAUAAAAAUAAAUAAUUUUCAAUCUCUCAUUUGUUCUAAUCAGAUAAUGAGAAAAGAUACAAGAAUUCUAUAAAUUAAUGAAGCACGAAAUAAAAGAUAUGUUUAAAAGGUGAGCCAAUUAUCAAAUUACUUCUUCCACCGCAAUCACGAUUCACGAUCAACAUUUCCAUCGAUAUUGUUGCAUUGAUAGAAUUUACUAGAAUUUACAAUCCUAGCAUCCUCUCGACCUCUUUUCGAAUUAGGAUUCUCUUUUAAAACAUUCAAAUAACUUUCGAUCCUUCUCCUCUUCGAAAACUUAAAUUUUCCCUUUCAUUUAAUCAAAAGGAUCGAUCGAAGACGAAUCGAUCUUAAUAACAAUUGUUCGAUCUUCCAAAAAAUUCUUUGAAGAUUCGUUGGAAACUAUUGUAUUAGUAGAGAAAUCGGAAAUAGAAGACUCGAAUUCGACGCAUAUAGCGAAAUUAAACCUUGAUUUAAUAAAAUAUUAUUCCAGAGAUAUAAUAUCAAAACUGUCUAAAACCGUUCGUUCUGAACCGUAGUUAGAUGUAUUUAUAGAAUUUUAAUUUUUCGAAUAUUAAAAAUAAAAAUUUAGAUAUUUAGUUAGCAAAAGAAAACACUAAUGUUAUUUACAUUACAAAAUAAAUGGAUAUAUGGAGUUUCGAUGCUUAUAUCUCUGAUUUUGUAUAUUCGAAUUCUAAGAAUCGAAGCGCACUUGCUUUUCUUUUCUCAAUUUUCCCGGUUUAUUGAAUUUCGCUCGCACCAGUUCUCAUUACCUAGAUCCGAGUGAUGUCUCUAAUUAGAGCUGACAAUCAUCCGUAUUGGGAGGCCUGUUGCGCAUAUCGAUUCUUUUCCACGUUUCCAAUUCCGUCAUUAUAAAAGAGAAUUAUAUCUAACGAUUCGAUUUUCUCGUUUGUAUGAUUUUUGUUCCUUUUUUACAUUUUUCAUAAAUGAAUUUAUUUGACUAAGAUUCGUGAAUUUAUUUCGCUCGUGGAUUUUGCAUUGUCGUUUAAUUUUUAUCGGUUGUUUUUUUUUUUUUUUUAAAAGUUAUAGAAGAUUGAGGUCAAAUUUAACUAUGGAAAUGAAAAUAAAUUUAAAUAGGAAUACUUGAGGGUAGGUAAUUAUUUACAAGAAGAGUACGGAUCAACGAUUUUAUAAUAUAUUUCGCGAUAUUCGAACAACUUUUCUCUAUAUUAUAUACGCUCGGUUAUUAAUUAAUUUUAAUUUUGGAAAUAUCAAUAAAAAUAUUCCUUUAAAAUACAAUAAAAUAUAAUUUUCAAAAGUUUUAGCCGUUAUCCAUUGUUUAUUAAAAAAUUAGUAAUAAAAAUGUUUUUCACAACAUUGUGCAACUUUCCGAUAUUUAACACGUUAAAAUGGAUUUGGAUUUGGAUUAGGUUACGUUAUAAUAUUGUUUCGUUUGCUUUUCCUUUAAUUCAAUUACCUUUAUCGUUUAUUAUUCAAAUCUAAUUUAAACUUUAAUCAAACUAAAACUAAGUUUUAAAAAUUAAUCUUCCAAAAAAAAAAUAUAUUAAACACAUAUGUAUAUAAUAUUAUGAAAUCACGUUGAAAAGAUUUUUGUGAUAUAAAAUGUUAUAUCUCUUCAAUCGGUGAGAUGUCUCUUCGUAAAUAAUUACCUACAUAUUUAAAAAAAAAAACGUGUCAUAGGCGAUAAAAAUUUGAUAAACAUUUGGAAAAUCAAUUUCUCCGAAAAAAUAUUUUAAAAUAUUACAUUUAUAGGAAAGUAGGUCAUCCUCGAUACAGUGACGUGCAAAAUUUAAUCGAAUAAAUUUUUUAGGGAAUUCAUGAUUAAAUUAAUCAUUUUUAUCUUAUCUGACUUGACCGAGCAUGUAUACUUUUUUUGAAAAUUUUAAAUUAAAUUGUUCACUCAGAUAUAUUUAAAUCUUCCAGAUGUAUCUAUUAUUGUUAGAUGUUAAUAGCAAUUUUUCUAUUUUGAUAAUUUUUUAAUUAAAUAAUCGAUAGAAGGUAGCAUAAAAAUUCUAAUUGCUUGAUUUUUUUUUUUUUUUUUUUUUUACUUCUUUGUUUCUAUAGAACACGUGAUAGUGAUACAAGAACAUUUUUGGUCGGCAGUGCAUUUUUAUUACGUUAGUUUUAUUAAGUUAUUGAGAAUUGAGAAGACAUGUUUUUAUUAUUGAGGUAUAUGUUGAUACAAAAAAAAAAUGCUUUAUUAAAAAAUUUGUAAUUUUAUAAACUCCUACACGUAUAAAAUUUAUUAUAAAAAAGAAUAGCUUUUUUUUCUAAGCAUUACAUUGUUUUGUUAAAGCGAAGAUUAAUGGACAAGUUUUAAGAGCAAUAUUUUUUGGCACGUCACUGUAUACUGAUUUAUAUUGAAAUAGUUUUGGAAUGAAAAAUAUAUUUUGUAAUAUAAAUAGAAUAUUUUUUUUUAAUGAAUAAAGUGUCCACUUUGUACACUUAAUAUAUGGAAUACGAAUGUGAUAAUAAUCAGUGACAAUGUAAAUUAUUUGGCAUUACGCGUAUUGCAUAAUAGGAUAUUUAUGGCAAUGAAUUUAUUUUUGUUUACUUAUAUUAUUACAUUACUUUUAAUAAA